This 492-nucleotide ribosomal RNA is filed under the name uncultured bacterium. Its description in RNAcentral is "partial 16S ribosomal RNA". It matches the Rfam family "Bacterial small subunit ribosomal RNA", at positions 29 to 507 of the family's 1533-position model. The record is from RNAcentral.
AGUGAACGCUGGCGGUAGGCCUAACACAUGCAAGUCGAACGGCAGCACAGUAAGAGCUUGCUCUUACGGGUGGCGAGUGGCGGACGGGUGAGGAAUACAUCGGAAUCUACCUUUUCGUGGGGGAUAACGUAGGGAAACUUACGCUACUACCGCAUACGACCUACGGGUGAAAGCAGGGGAUCUUCGGACCUUGCGCGAUUGAAUGAGCCGAUGUCGGAUUAGCUAGUUGGCGGGGUAAAGGCCCACCAAGGCGACGAUCCGUAGCUGGUCUGAGAGGAUGAUCAGCCACACUGGAACUGAGACACGGUCCAGACUCCUACGGGAGGCAGCAGUGGGGAAUAUUGGACAAUGGGCGCAAGCCUGAUCCAGCCAUACCGCGUGGGUGAAGAAGGCCUUCGGGUUGUAAAGCCCUUUUGUUGGGAAAGAAAAGCAGCAGGUUAAUACCCCGCUGUUCUGACGGUACCCAAAGAAUAAGCACCGGCUAACUUCGUG